UGAGGCUGAUGACGGGCGCCGGAGCGCGGUGAAGGCGACGGCGGAGGGCCGAGGCAAGAGAGAAGUUCCAGGCGGGGCUGAUCCGCAGCACCACUGAAACUGAAACACAUCACUGUCUAGUGUCUUCUAGUAGGGGGGGGGGGGGGGGGGGGGGGGGCAGCGUUCGGUGGGUCAAGCUAAUGAUCCACUACAAAAGUACAGUAUAAAAAAACAUCCGAUAAUUUGGCCCACUAAGUUUUCGUUCCAGAUAGUGUUUGAUCUGGCUGGUUUGUUCCGUCACCCAAUCAUCAAAGUAUUAUGAUUCAAAAAACAAUACUGUAUCAUUUUGGCCACCUCACGAGAAGUUGUAACAACCAAUCAAGCCAAAUUCAAUUGAUGAUUCAAAAUGGUGGGCUUCGCCCCCCCUCCCAA
This 411-nucleotide long non-coding RNA is filed under the name Zea mays. RNAcentral describes it as "long non-coding RNA (ZMAY_LNC004846)". The record is from RNAcentral. Lineage: Eukaryota; Viridiplantae; Streptophyta; Magnoliopsida; Poales; Poaceae.